RNAcentral lists this ribosomal RNA (276 nucleotides) under uncultured bacterium. Its description in RNAcentral is "partial 16S ribosomal RNA". It matches the Rfam family "Bacterial small subunit ribosomal RNA", at positions 82 to 354 of the family's 1533-position model. The record is from RNAcentral.
CUGCCGCCGGCGACCGGCGCACGGGUGAGUAACACGUAUGCAACCUGGCCGUGACAGAUGGAUAACCGGGAGAAAUCCCGCCUAAUACAACAUAAUGCCGGGAGGGGACAUCCCCUGCCGGCCAAAGGGGGCGACCCCGGUCACGGAUGGGCAUGCGGCGCAUUAGGUAGUUGGUGGGGCAACGGCCCACCAAGCCGACGAUGCGUAGGGGUUCUGAGAGGAAGGUCCCCCACGUUGGAACUGAGACACGGUCCAAACUCCUACGGGAGGCAGCAG